This is a non-coding RNA of Lolium perenne, 1515 nucleotides long. The record is from RefSeq and is a predicted model, not a curated record. NCBI's taxonomy places the organism in Eukaryota, Viridiplantae, Streptophyta, Magnoliopsida, Poales, Poaceae.
GACCAAACACACGCCACACCGCAGUCCGACAGGUAGGUGCCGAAGGAAAGGAGAAAAGAAACCCACUUCUCGGCGCUCCCGACCACGGCAUGCUCCACCACCGUGCCCGCUCCUCUCCUCCUCGCUGAGAGUCGAGCAAGGCUCCAAAGCAGAUUCUCCUUGCCGGCGCGGCCCCGUCCCCCUCCAAGUUCCGCUCACCUCCCUGACACGGCCCGCCCGUCCGCGUGUGGAUGAACGUGGAGCAGAUCGGAGGACGACUGUGCUGUGGAGAUGCGGAGACUCGCCAUGGCUCCUGCCAUGAAUCCCGCCUCCAACCGCGCGCCACCGGCCGUCCCCUUCCUCCACGCGCGCCGAACAGGCCCUUCCGUCCCCGAGCCCCAUCCAGUUCACUUUCUCCCCUGCGAGCCGGCUGGUGUAUGUGGGGUUGCGGGAUCCCGAGCUCACAGAUGGCACGGAUCCCGGGUGUCGACCUGGUCGUCGUCCCUCGAACCCCAACGCCGCAUCGAGCCGGUGCGACGCGAAGAGCUUGGUGGCCAUGGUCGCCCGUGUAGCCGUGGACUACCUAUGCGGAUGUAAUUGAUACUCAAAAUCCAUGCUCCCCUCCAUGGUGUGCAGCGAGGUGGGAGGAUGCCUGCUCCGUCGGCGGCGUGUUGUGACUGAGCAGCGAGGAUGGAGGAGUCUAGCAGCGGCUCAACUGCUCCUUUUCUUAUUAUUUUUUGGUACACGCCAUGGAUUUGGUAUCUUGUUGUCUUGUUCCACUUGGGGAUCGGGAAUUUUUAGGCGAGGGAUAGUUGCUGCCGGCGCUGCAUCCCCUUCCUCUAGCAAUUGUUUGGAGGAAGGGCGGCAGAGGAGCUUGUUCAUCCUUGUCGACUGCCUAAAACAUCCCAUUUCCGGAGGAAGGGCAGACUGUCGAGUCCGUGAAUCCACCACAGCGCCAUGCUGGAGGCUGGGUGCGGCCGCACUCAACAAGCACGCGGCGGCGAUAAGGGAUGCUGGUCGCUGGAGGGAGAUGUGAGGCGUCCACCUUGCGAAUGCGGGACAUGUGCGGAAGGUCACCGGGGCGUCGCCGGAUGCAGUGUCACGGUGGACACAGGCAGCGCCUACCGGUGGUAGAGGAAGGGCCGAAGGCCGGCCUAGGCGCGCGACGCCGCCAUGAUUUGGGUAUGGAGGUGCAGGUGCGGCUCGAGGAGCUCGAGAGAUGGUGUUUGCGCGCUGUGGGCGGGCUCCUGCUGGAUUUUGCGGGACACAGGUCACGGUUGAUAUUUAGGAAAAAUUAUAAUUUAAUGCAUCUCUUUCAUUUUCUGAAUCCUGGAGUAGCUUUGGUCAGUUUUUUGACCUGAUGCUGAUCAAAUUGAGCCAACGUUUUCUUUUCAUAUUUGGUUACGUCCGUGAUUCAUCGAUUUACCAUAUUUCCUAAUUUUUAAGUAACACUCUACAUCUGGUUUCCCCAAUUUUGUUGUUGUAAUCUCUCCCACAAUUUGCAGCUUGCAGUGCAACCAUUGUGAACUGAAAUCC